GACGAACGCUGGCGGCGUGCUUAACACAUGCAAGUCGAACGGAAAGGCCCUGCUUGCGUGGGGUGCUCGAGUGGCGAACGGGUGAGUAACACGUGAGUAACCUGCCCUUGACUUUGGGAUAACUUCAGGAAGCUGGGGCUAAUACCGGCUAGGAGCUCCUGCUGGAUGGUGGGGGUUGGACAGUUUCGGCGGUUGGGGAUUGACUCGGGGCUUAUCAGCUUGUUGGUGGGGUAGUGGCUUACCAAGGCUUUGAAGGGUAGCCGGCCUGAGUGGGUGACCGGCGACAUGGGGACUGAGAGACGGACCAGACUGGUACAGGAGACAGUAGUGGGGAAUAUUGCACAAUGGGCGGGAGCGUGAUGCGGAGGCGCCGCGUGCGUGAUGACGGCCUUCGGGUUGGAAACCGCAUUAGGCUGUGACGAAGCGGGAGUGACGGUAAUGGGUAAAGAAGCACCGGCUAACUACGUG
RNAcentral lists this ribosomal RNA (468 nucleotides) under uncultured bacterium. Its description in RNAcentral is "partial 16S ribosomal RNA". It matches the Rfam family "Bacterial small subunit ribosomal RNA", at positions 28 to 507 of the family's 1533-position model. The record is from RNAcentral.